AGGCGUGUCAGAAAUCGGCAAAUUCCUAUUGCUGUAACAAUCAACUUUGUAACAGACACAUUCCAUCAAAACCAAUUAUCGUAAAUCCAACCUCCAAUCAGCAUAUACAAGUCAAGUACCAUACAGACGUACGGAUAACGUGUAUAGUCACUGGAUAUCCGGAACCCACCAUUGGAUAUGAGUUCAAGCAUACAAACCCUUUUCCAACUAAUUUUGGAAAAGAGAACAACAAUACAUUGGUGAUUUCUAAUUAUAAUAAAGAAAAUGACGGCCAUUACCACUGUUAUGCUGUGAAUUCCUUAGGAACAGCGAAAGUAGACUUUACCAUUAAAGGGACUGACACAUGAUGGGUACUAGCCUAAAAGAAGUUCCACAAGACCGCAAACAUUUACUUCAAGUGUUCGAUGUUAUCAGAACA
Molecule: long non-coding RNA, 418 nt
Organism: Mytilus californianus (California mussel)
Lineage: Eukaryota; Metazoa; Mollusca; Bivalvia; Mytilida; Mytilidae
Exons: 3
Source: RefSeq, a predicted model, not a curated record